GAUGAACGCUAGCGGCAGGCCUAACACAUGCAAGUCGAGGGGUAUAGUAGCAAUACUAGAGACCGGCGCACGGGUGCGUAACGCGUAUGCAAUCUACCUUUUACAGGGGAAUAGCCCAGAGAAAUUUGGAUUAAUGCCUCAUAGGAUAUAGGAAUCGCAUGGUUUUUAUAUUAAAGUUCCAACGGUAAAAGAUGAGCAUGCGUCCCAUUAGUUAGUUGGUAAGGUAACGGCUUACCAAGACGAUGAUGGGUAGGGGUCCUGAGAGGGAGAUCCCCCACACUGGUACUGAGACACGGACCAGACUCCUACGGGAGGCAGCAGUGAGGAAUAUUGGACAAUGGGCGCAAGCCUGAUCCAGCCAUGCCGCGUGCAGGAAGACGGUCCUAUGGAUUGUAAACUGCUUUUAUACAGGAAGAAACACCACUACGAGUAGUGACUUGACGGUACUGUAAGAAUAAGGAUCGGCUAACUCCGUGCCAGCCGCCGCUGUAAAAC
This 495-nucleotide ribosomal RNA is filed under the name uncultured bacterium. Its description in RNAcentral is "bacterial SSU rRNA". It matches the Rfam family "Bacterial small subunit ribosomal RNA", at positions 28 to 526 of the family's 1533-position model. The record is from RNAcentral.